AACGAAGAGGCUGGGAGAUUAUUAUUGGUUUAUAGUAAAUAUUUUAUAAAUGAGUGGUUAAUAAAGAUAACUAAGUGAAAUUUUUAUCUUUUAAUCUCUUAAUAUAUGAUGCUAUGAAAGUUAGGGUAUAAACUA
RNAcentral lists this ribosomal RNA (135 nucleotides) under Paraleptophlebia japonica. RNAcentral's name for it is "partial 12S ribosomal RNA". Lineage: Eukaryota; Metazoa; Arthropoda; Insecta; Ephemeroptera; Leptophlebiidae. The record is from RNAcentral.